RNAcentral lists this transfer RNA (69 nucleotides) under Colaspidema barbarum. Its description in RNAcentral is "tRNA-Met". It matches the Rfam family "tRNA". Rfam says of the family: Transfer RNA (tRNA) molecules are approximately 80 nucleotides in length. Their secondary structure includes four short double-helical elements and three loops (D, anti-codon, and T loops). Lineage: Eukaryota; Metazoa; Arthropoda; Insecta; Coleoptera; Chrysomelidae. The record is from RNAcentral.
AAAAAAAUAAGCUAAUUAAGCUACUGGGUUCAUACCCCAUUUAUGAAGGUUUUAGUCCUUCUUUUUUUG